AUGUGGGAAUCUGCCUUUUGGUUUGGAAUAACACGGGGAAACUUGUGCUAAUACCGAAUAAGCCUUCACAGGGAAAGUUUUAACGCCGAAAGAUGAGCCCGCACUUGAUUAGCUAGUUGGUAAGGUAAAAGCUUACCAAGGCAAUGAUCAAUAGCUGUUCUUAGAGGAAGACCAGCCACAUUGGGACUGAGACACGGCCCAAACUCCUACGGGAGGCAGCAGUGGGGAAUCUUGCACAAUGGAGGAAACUCUGAUGCAGCGAUGCCGCGUGAGUGAAGAAGGCCUUUGGGUUGUAAAGCUCUUUCGUCGGG
This 311-nucleotide ribosomal RNA is filed under the name uncultured bacterium. Its description in RNAcentral is "bacterial SSU rRNA". It matches the Rfam family "Bacterial small subunit ribosomal RNA", at positions 115 to 443 of the family's 1533-position model. The record is from RNAcentral.